AGCAGGGUGGCUUAGUGGAAAGAGCAUGGGCUUGGGAGUCAGAGGUCAUGGGUUCUAAUCCCACCUCUGCCC
This 72-nucleotide transfer RNA is filed under the name Ornithorhynchus anatinus (platypus). It matches the Rfam family "tRNA". Rfam says of the family: Transfer RNA (tRNA) molecules are approximately 80 nucleotides in length. Their secondary structure includes four short double-helical elements and three loops (D, anti-codon, and T loops). Further hydrogen bonds mediate the characteristic L-shaped molecular structure. tRNAs have two regions of fundamental functional importance: the anti-codon, which is responsible for specific mRNA codon recognition, and the 3' end, to which the tRNAs corresponding amino acid is attached (by aminoacyl-tRNA synthetases). tRNAs cope with the degeneracy of the genetic code in two manners: having more than one tRNA (with a specific anti-codon) for a particular amino acid; and 'wobble' base-pairing, i.e. permitting non-standard base-pairing at the 3rd anti-codon position. Lineage: Eukaryota; Metazoa; Chordata; Mammalia; Monotremata; Ornithorhynchidae. The record is from Rfam by way of RNAcentral.